Pan troglodytes (chimpanzee) is the source of this 3076-nucleotide RNA transcript. It is a transcript of the gene named mutS homolog 5, with no coding region annotated. The transcript has 25 exons. The record is from RefSeq and is a predicted model, not a curated record. Lineage: Eukaryota; Metazoa; Chordata; Mammalia; Primates; Hominidae.
GCGCGCUCCUCCUGCAGGCUCGUGGCGGUCGGUCAGCGGGGCGUUCUCCCACGUGUAGCGACUGAGGUUACUGAAGAGGCGGGAAAACGCUGUGAUGGCGGCAGCUGGGGGAGGAGGAAGAUAAGCGCAGCCUCCAAGCUCAUGGCCUCCUUAGGAGCGAACCUAAGGAGGACACCGCAGGGACCGGGACCUGGGGCGGCCUCCUCCGGCUUCCCCAGCCCGGCCCCAGUGCCGGGCCCCAGGGAGGCCGAGGAGGAGGAAGUCGAGGAGGAGGAGGAGCUGGCCGAGAUCCACCUGUGUGUGCUGUGGAAUUCAGGAUACUUGGGCAUUGCCUACUAUGAUACUAGUGACUCCACUAUCCACUUCAUGCCAGAUGCCCCAGACCACGAGAGCCUCAAGCUUCUCCAGAGAGUUCUGGAUGAGAUCAAUCCCCAGUCUGUUGUUACGAGUGCCAAACAGGAUGAGAAUAUGACUCGAUUUCUGGGAAAGCUUGCCUCCCAGGAGCACAGAGAGCCUAAAAGACCUGAAAUCAUAUUUUUGCCAAGUGUGGAUUUUGGUCUGGAGAUAAGCAAACAACGCCUCCUUUCUGGAAACUACUCCUUCAUCCCAGACGCCAUGACUGCCACUGAGAAAAUCCUCUUCCUCUCUUCCAUUAUUCCCUUUGACUGCCUCCUCACACCCCCAGGAGAUUUAAGAUUUACCCCGAUUCCACUGCUGAUCCCCUCCCAGGUUCGAGCACUUGGAGGGCUGCUGAAGUUCCUGGGUCGAAGAAGAAUCGGGGUUGAACUGGAAGACUAUAAUGUCAGCGUCCCCAUCCUGGGCUUUAAGAAAUUUAUGUUGACUCAUCUGGUGAACAUAGAUCAAGACACUUACAGUGUUCUACAGAUUUUUAAGAGUGAGUCUCACCCCUCAGUGUACAAAGUGGCCAGUGGACUGAAGGAGGGGCUCAGCCUCUUUGGAAUCCUCAACAGAUGCCGCUGUAAGUGGGGAGAGAAGCUGCUCAGGCUAUGGUUCACACGUCCGACUCAUGACCUGGGGGAACUCAGUUCUCGUCUGGACGUCAUUCAGUUUUUUCUGCUGCCCCAGAAUCUGGACAUGGCUCAGAUGCUGCAUCGGCUCCUGGGUCACAUCAAGAACGUGCCUCUGAUUCUGAAACGCAUGAAGUUGUCCCACACCAAGGUCAGCGACUGGCAGGUUCUCUACAAGACUGUGUACGGUGCCCUGGGCCUGAGGGAUGCCUGCCGCUCCCUGCCGCAGUCCAUCCAGCUCUUUCGGGACAUUGCCCAAGAGUUCUCUGAUGACCUGCACCAUAUCGCCAGCCUCAUUGGGAAAGUAGUGGACUUUGAGGGCAGCCUUGCUGAAAAUCGCUUCACAGUCCUCCCCAACAUAGAUCCUGAAAUUGAUGAGAAAAAGCGAAGACUGAUGGGACUUCCCAAUUUCCUUACUGAGGUUGCCCGCAAGGAGCUGGAGAAUCUGGACUCCCGUAUUCCUUCAUGCAGUGUCAUCUACAUCCCUCUGAUCGGCUUCCUUCUUUCUAUUCCCCGCCUGCCUUCCAUGGUAGAGGCCAGUGACUUUGAGAUUAAUGGACUGGACUUCAUGUUUCUCUCAGAGGAGAAGCUGCACUAUCGUAGUGCCCGAACCAAGGAGCUGGAUGCAUUGCUGGGGGACCUGCACUGCGAGAUCCGGGACCAGGAGACGCUGCUGAUGUACCAGCUACAGUGCCAGGUGCUGGCACGAGCAGCUGUCUUAACCCGAGUAUUGGACCUUGCCUCCCGCCUGGACGUCCUGCUGGCUCUUGCCAGUGCUGCCCGGGACUAUGGCUACUCAAGGCCGCGUUACUCCCCACAAGUCCUUGGGGUACGAAUCCAGAAUGGCAGACAUCCUCUGAUGGAACUCUGUGCCCGAACCUUUGUGCCCAACUCCACAGAAUGUGGUGGGGACAAAGGGAGGGUCAAAGUCAUCACUGGACCCAACUCAUCAGGGAAGAGCAUAUACCUCAAACAGGUGAGGAGAAGCCCUGCAGCCUGGGCCUCUGGCGUCUCCUGCAUCUACUCCACCCCUACUUACCAGCCAACUCAGGCUCCUGCAGCUCUUCUCCCAUUUUCUGACCCCGCUCUUCAUGAAAGGACCGUCACCCACAUCCCUGUGCUUCCACCUCACAUGUUCUUAUUCUCCACUGGAGAGCCAUGCUCUAAUGGAACUUUCCGUGGCCCAAAUUCCUUCACCUGCCUCUGAGUAGGCUUGAUCACAUUCAUGGCCCUGGUAGGCAGCUUUGUGCCAGCAGAGGAGGCCGAAAUUGGGGCAGUAGACGCCAUCUUCACACGAAUUCAUAGCUGCGAAUCCAUCUCCCUUGGCCUCUCCACCUUCAUGAUCGACCUCAACCAGCAGGUGGCGAAAGCAGUGAACAAUGCCACUGCACAGUCGCUGGUCCUCAUUGAUGAAUUUGGAAAGGGAACCAACACGGUGGAUGGGCUCGCGCUUCUGGCCGCUGUGCUCCGACACUGGCUGGCACGUGGACCCACAUGCCCCCACAUCUUUGUGGCCACCAACUUUCUGAGCCUUGUUCAGCUACAGCUGCUGCCACAAGGGCCCCUGGUGCAGUAUUUGACCAUGGAGACCUGUGAGGAUGGCAACGAUCUUGUCUUCUUCUAUCAGGUUUGCGAAGGUGUUGCGAAGGCCAGCCAUGCCUCCCACACAGCUGCCCAGGCUGGGCUUCCUGACAAGCUUGUGGCUCGUGGCAAGGAGGUCUCAGACUUGAUCCGCAGUGGAAAACCCAUCAAGCCUGUCAAGGAUUUGCUAAAGAAGAACCAAAUGGAAAAUUGCCAGACAUUAGUGGAUAAGUUUAUGAAACUGGAUUUGGAAGAUCCUAACCUGGACUUGAACGUUUUCAUGAGCCAGGAAGUGCUGCCUGCUGCCACCAGCAUCCUCUGAGAGUACUUCCAGUGUCCUCCCCAGCCUCCUGAGACUCCGGUGGGCUGCCAUGCCCUCUUUGUUUCCUUAUCUCCCUCAGACCCAGAGUUUUUAGUUUCUCUAGAAAUUUUGUUUCAUAUUAGGAAUAAAGUUUAUUUUGAAGAAA